This 329-nucleotide unclassified non-coding RNA is filed under the name soil metagenome. RNAcentral's name for it is "partial contains 5.8S ribosomal RNA, internal transcribed spacer 2, and large subunit ribosomal RNA". The stretch from base 1 to 120 matches the Rfam family "5.8S ribosomal RNA", at positions 35 to 154 of the family's 154-position model. The record is from RNAcentral.
GAUGAAGAACGUAGCGAAAUGCGAUAAGUAGUGUGAAUUGCAGAAUUCAGUGAAUCAUCGAAUCUUUGAACGCACAUUGCGCCCCUUGGUAUCCCGAGGGGCAUGCCUGUUCGAGCGUCAUUUCACCACUCAAGCCUGGCUUGGUGUUGGGCGACGUCCCCUUUGGGGACGCGCCUCGAAACGCUCGGCGGCGUGGCACCGGCUUUAAGCGUAGCAGAAUCUUUCGCUUUGGAAGUCGGGGCCCCGCCUGCCGGAAUACCUACUCGUAAGGUUGACCUCGGAUCAGGCAGGGAUACCCGCUGAACUUAAGCAUAUCAAUAAGCGGAGGA